RNAcentral lists this ribosomal RNA (301 nucleotides) under uncultured bacterium. RNAcentral describes it as "partial 16S ribosomal RNA". It matches the Rfam family "Bacterial small subunit ribosomal RNA", at positions 509 to 807 of the family's 1533-position model. The record is from RNAcentral.
CAGUAGCCGCGGUAAUACGGAGGAUCCAAGCGUUAUCCGGAAUCAUUGGGUUUAAAGGGUCCGUAGGCGGUCUUGUAAGUCAGUGGUGAAAGCCCAUCGCUCAACGGUGGAACGGCCAUUAAUACUGCAGGACUUGAAUUAUUGGGAAGUAACUAGAAUAUGUAGUGUAGCGGUGAAAUGCUUAGAGAUUACAUGGAAUACCAAUUGCGAAGGCAGGUUACUACCAAUUGAUUGACGCUGAUGGACGAAAGCGUGGGUAGCGAACAGGAUUAGAUACCCCCGUAGUCCCUGUCUCUUAUAC